Molecule: ribosomal RNA, 945 nt
Filed under: uncultured bacterium
Lineage: Bacteria
Description: bacterial SSU rRNA
Rfam family: Bacterial small subunit ribosomal RNA
Source: RNAcentral
UGGCGGCGUGGAUAAGACAUGCAAGUCGAACGCGAUUUUUCCGGUUAGCAAUAACUGGAAAAAUUGAGUGGCGAAUGGGUGCGUAACACGUGGGAAUUUAUCCGGAAGUGGGGGAUAGCUUGCCGAAAGGCAAAUUAAUACCGCAUAUGCCCGUAAGGGCAAAGUGGGGGACCGCAAGGCCUCACGCUAUCGGAGGAGCCCGCGCCCUAUCAGCUAGUUGGUGAGGUAAUGGCUCACCAAGGCUUAGACGGGUAGCUGGUCUGAGAGGACGACCAGCCACACUGGAACUGAGACACGGUCCAGACACCUACGGGUGGCAGCAGUCGAGGAUUUUUCUCAAUGGGGGCAACCCUGAAGGAGCGACGCCGCGUGGAGGAUGAAGGGCUUCGGCUCGUAAACUCCUGUCACCGACGAACAAGGCAUCCGAAUUAAUAAAUCGGAUGCUUGAUGGUAGUCGGAGAGGAAGGGGCGGCUAACUCUGUGCCAGCAGCCGCGGUGAUACAGAGGCCCCAAGCGUUGUUCGGAUUUACUGGGCGUAAAGGGUGUGUAGGGGGUCGUGUAAGUUUGACGUGAAAUCCCGUUGCUCAACAACGGAACUGCGUCGAAUACUGCUCGGCUGGAGGUUCGGAGAUGAGGGCGGAAUUCUCGGUGUAGCGGUGAAAUGCGUAGAUAUCGAGAGGAACGCCGAUGGCGAAAGCAGCCCUCAAGACGAAAUCUGACCCUGAAACACGAAGGCCAGGGGAGCAAACGGGAUUAGAUACCCCGGUAGUCCUGGCAGUAAACGGUGCUCAUUAGAUGUAGGCGGAUUCGACCCCGCCUGUGUCGAACCUAACGGAUUAAAUGAGCCGCCUGGGAAGUACGGUCGCAAGAUUAAAACUCAAAGAAAUUGACGGGGGCCCGCACAAGCGGNNGNNUAUGUGGCUUAAUUCGAUGCAACGCGAAGAA